This 468-nucleotide ribosomal RNA is filed under the name uncultured bacterium. Its description in RNAcentral is "bacterial SSU rRNA". It matches the Rfam family "Bacterial small subunit ribosomal RNA", at positions 28 to 507 of the family's 1533-position model. The record is from RNAcentral.
GAUGAACGCUGGCGGCGUGCCUAACACAUGCAAGUCGAACGGACUUACAUUGAAGCCUAGCGAUAUGUAAGUUAGUGGCGGACGGGUGAGUAACGCGUGGGUAACCUGCCUUGUACUGGGGGACAACAGUUGGAAACGACUGCUAAUACCGCAUAAGCGCACAGCUUCGCAUGAAGCAGUGUGAAAAACUCCGGUGGUACAAGAUGGACCCGCGUCUGAUUAGCUGGUUGGUGAGGUAACGGCCCACCAAGGCAACGAUCAGUAGCCGGCCUGAGAGGGUGAACGGCCACAUUGGGACUGAGACACGGCCCAAACUCCUACGGGAGGCAGCAGUGGGGAAUAUUGCACAAUGGGGGAAACCCUGAUGCAGCAACGCCGCGUGAGUGAAGAAGUAUUUCGGUAUGUAAAGCUCUAUCAGCAGGAAAGAAAAUGACGGUACCUGACUAAGAAGCCCCGGCUAACUACGUG